RNAcentral lists this ribosomal RNA (253 nucleotides) under uncultured bacterium. RNAcentral's name for it is "partial 16S ribosomal RNA". It matches the Rfam family "Bacterial small subunit ribosomal RNA", at positions 524 to 776 of the family's 1533-position model. The record is from RNAcentral.
GACGGGAGAUGCAAGCGUUGUUCGGAAUCACUGGGCUUAAAGCGCGUGUAGGCGGCUCGGUAAGUGUCUUGUGAAAUCCCAGGGCUCAACCUUGGAAUCGCUGGGCAUACUGCCGGGCUUGAGGUAGGUAGGGGUCACUGGAACUCUAGGUGGAGCGGUGAAAUGCGUAGAUAUCUAGAGGAACGCCCGUGGCGAAAGCGGGUGACUGGGCCUGUCCUGACGCUGAGACGCGAAAGCGUGGGUAGCAAACGGG